Long non-coding RNA from Megalobrama amblycephala (Wuchang bream), 453 nucleotides. RefSeq lists it as uncharacterized. The record is from RefSeq and is a predicted model, not a curated record. The transcript has 3 exons. NCBI's taxonomy places the organism in Eukaryota, Metazoa, Chordata, Actinopteri, Cypriniformes, Xenocyprididae.
AGGUUUAAAGGUUUUAAAGGCAAUACAGAACAUCAGACAGACAGAUAAGAUUAGCAAGAUUUAACAUAGAAGCUGUGUCCCAAUUCAGGGGCCGCGCACUUCGAAGUGCAUGAAAGGGGUGGGGUUUUGGAGUGGAGGGUUGCCAGGUCUGCGCAACAAAACCAUCCCAAAAGUAGCGCAAUCACAGCACAAGUGUAAAAGUAUCCCAGUCCCAGACUUGGCAACAAUGAGCCGAGUGUCGUAACAUGGCUGCUGUGUGACAGACAGCUGACAGUUGACGUUUGUGACAUGCUUCACUGCCGGCGACGAUGGGACACUGGACCAAAAUAUAUGAGAUGUGAUCCCCAGAGUUUGGCGUUGAGAUUCUUCAGAACAAGGCCUUGAUGCCAUGCAGAUGCCCAUCACUGACAGGCUUUCCUGUGUAAACCAUCAUAUUUAUCCAAAUGAGGUUUG